RNA transcript from Temnothorax curvispinosus, 1211 nucleotides. RefSeq lists it as uncharacterized. The record is from RefSeq and is a predicted model, not a curated record. The transcript has 6 exons. NCBI's taxonomy places the organism in Eukaryota, Metazoa, Arthropoda, Insecta, Hymenoptera, Formicidae.
ACAAUUUUCGAUUCAAACCGUGGUCAAUCGAUGCGGAAUCGUUUGUUAGUUCCGAAUAUAUACUAAGUAAAACGUUUGUUAGGUAUCGCUAAAAAAAGCGAAAAACUGUAUAUCGUUUAGCUGCCGGAGAGUGGGGAUUUGUCGUCCAGUUCAUAUACAGAGAGGCGGAAAAGCCGCCGGUGUCAUUCUCAUUGAUUCGCAUUAAUUCUUGUACAUAGUUCCGGCGCAACCUACUGUGAUAAAUAUUCCGGAAUCUUUGGCAUAGCAUUUUACUACGACGCAGUUUACGAAUAUUCCGAACCGAGAAUAUUACGAACAAAGAAACCUCAAUAACGGAAUAAAGUGAAUAAUACCAUAGAGAAAACAGUAAACGAAGUAAAUAUAAGCAGAGAAGUCGCGGACGGCUUGCGUAUAUAUUUCGAUUUCGCAUAUUACCUCAUCUCCUGUUAUAUAGGAUGGAGAGCAGAUUCGGCGAUAGGCGGCAUUCAAGUGAGGUGAAGGACAAGCAAGAUCUACCAAAUAAAAAUAAGAUUGAAUUAAACAUGGAAAAAAAGCCAAGUUUAGGAUCGCUAACAUUAAGCAUUACGGAUAGUUUUUUGAUAGCGACCAAUAUUUGCUCAACUAAAUUAACCCAGAAUGUAGACUUAUUAGAUUUACUUAAUUGAGCAUCGCACAAUACGGACUUAAAAGAAUCUUUAGCUGCUUCAAUGAAAGUUGACGGGGAGGAAAUAGUGAAGUUUCUGCAGGAUGUUUUGGAUGCUUUAUUUAAUAUCUUAAUGAGUAAUUCAGACAGUGAUGUCUACGAUGACAUGGUCUUUGAGUGCCUUUUAUAUAUUAUCGGACUCGUAUCCGAUAGAAAGUACCAGCACUUUCAACCAGUAUUAGAUUUAUAUAUUUCUGAGAGCUUCUCUGCAACUCUUGCAUAUAAGACAUUAAUUCCGGUAUUACGCAAGCGUAUAGAUAACGUCAACAACGGCGAUGGACAGGAACGAGAUUAUUGCUUAAGACAAUGAAAAGUCUCCAAUUUUCUCACUUUCUUAUGAUCCGCUUUAGAUAAAAAAAAAGAAAAAGAGUAAAUUCAAAACGCCACGAUUAACAGUAAUUAAUGUUUAAUUUCGAAGUCUGUCACUUUACAUAGUAAUAAACAAACGUCAUAGAUCAUAUAUCAUAUCAAAUUGUAUAUCGCAUAUCCGCAUAUACAUAUAUAUAUA